Molecule: small nuclear RNA, 105 nt
Organism: Grammomys surdaster
Lineage: Eukaryota; Metazoa; Chordata; Mammalia; Rodentia; Muridae
Source: RefSeq, a predicted model, not a curated record
CUGCUCUGUAUGACAGCAUGUAUAUUAAAAGUUGGAAUGACACAGAGAUUACCAUGGCCCCUGCCCAAGAGUGACACACAGAUUCACGAAACAUUCCAUAUUUAA